RNAcentral lists this long non-coding RNA (1481 nucleotides) under Canis lupus familiaris (dog). Its description in RNAcentral is "lncRNA (ENSCAFG00000053449.1)". The record is from RNAcentral. Lineage: Eukaryota; Metazoa; Chordata; Mammalia; Carnivora; Canidae.
AGGCCUGCGGACGCCCGGCUCUGCGGCCCGCACGGCCCGGCCCGGCCGCGCUCCUGCGAGGAAACGGCGUCUCCGAACUUCGUCGGAGGCCACAGCAGGCAUCUUGGCCUCGCGGCCGGGGAUCUGAGAGAGGAACGCAGGACCCGAGGAAACUUUGUAAGCGGGAGCCGGCGAGUCCUCGGCCGGCGUGUGGAGAUCCGCAUUCCCGGCUCCGUGUCCGUGGUCGGGACACCUGUUUGUGGAGUGCCCCAACUUCAAGUUUUAAUCGCUUGACUCUUCGAGAGAGAGAGAGAGAGAGAGAGAGAGAGAGAGAGAGAUGAGGAAUUUCAUACAAGAGGGGAGGGGGGUGGGGCGGCGAGAAGACCGGCCCUGAGGUACACGUUACACUUUCGGAGAAGGAGCCCCAGUGUGAUCGACUGAACAUUGGAUUUGGUCGCUGAUUCCCAUCCCUCAGGUGGGCUUUGUGACCUGAGGCAACCUAGGUAACCUCUCUGAGUCUCACACUGCACGGUCUUUAAUAAAAGGCCGCGGGGCUGCAUCUCUGAGGCCUCUUCUGGUCUCUUCUGGUCCUGACAUUCUUUGACGUGCGUUUACAAGACUCUUGUCCCUGUUUGUGCUUAUAGGUUUCCCAGUAAUCCUGCUAAAGAGAAUCUGUAGGUGCAGGCUCUGAACUUCAGUCAGGUGAGACUGAGCUUAUUGCGGUGUUAGAAUCACUGAAAAGCACUCAUGAAUCGUAGGAGGACUAACCACAAACAAGAGGCGGCUCAUCCCUCCGGAGACAAGACUCCUAAAACUCACUCCACAGCACAUACAGUAAAAGGACAAAAACAAACAUGAAGCCAAUGUAUAGUCCUAACAGCUACGUAACAGGCAAGCACCUCAGAAGCAGCUUUAAAAGGAUAUGGAUGUCCAGGGGACAAUUUUCACCCUUUCUCUAGUAAGUUUUGAGGAAAUGUCUCAGAAGAUGGAGACUGAGGAAAAUUUUGUACAGGAGGCACAUAGGAGGGGAAGCCCAUCCUCCUCCCCACCCUUCAGCAGCUAGAAUGCAAGCUCCCUGCAGGCAGGAAUUUCAUCCAGUUCACUACUGUCUCCUCUGGUCCCUAACAAUGAUGGGCAAGUGUUCAACAUUUUCUGUUGUUGUUGAAUGAACGUGUGAAUUAGACUGAAAAUGGCUCUGGGAUGACAGGAUUGACGGUUUUGUUGAGUGUGAUAAAGCCUAAGCUAAUUUUAUGAUAAAGCAAAACCCUAUACCUUACAGGGUGUUGAGAGAUGUACUUUGGAAAUAUCAGCCAAUAUGGAAAUGUAGAGUUUUCUUUAUAUAAACCUAAGUGCGAGGAGAGUGGUUGAGCAAAAUCAUUGCUGAGAGAUUUUGAAUUCUUUAUUGUAAUUCCCUAAAGGUAGACACUCAGAAAUAAUAUGUAAAUCAAGAGAAGCGAAUUGGCCGGUUUCUAACGAUUUAUCAAGAAUAAAAAGACCAUCUU